RNAcentral lists this ribosomal RNA (406 nucleotides) under uncultured bacterium. Its description in RNAcentral is "partial 16S ribosomal RNA". It matches the Rfam family "Bacterial small subunit ribosomal RNA", at positions 30 to 526 of the family's 1533-position model. The record is from RNAcentral.
AUUGAACGCUGGCGGCAGGCCUAACACAUGCAAGUCGAACGAGUGGCGGACGGGUGAGUAAUGUCUGGGAAACUGCCUGAUGGAGGGGGAUAACUACUGGAAACGGUAGCUAAUACCGCAUACCAUCAGAUGUGCCCAGAUGGGAUUAGCUCGUUGGUGGGGUAAAGGCUCACCAAGGCGACGAUCCCUAGCUGGUCUGAGAGGCUGACCAGCCAAACUGGAACUGAGACACGGCCCAGACGCCUACGGGAGGCAGCAGUGGGGAAUAUUGCACAAUGGGCACAAGCCUGAUGCAGCCAUGCCGCGUGUAUGAAGAAGGCCUUCGGGUUGUAAAGUACUUUCAGCGGGGAGGCGUUACCCGCAGAAGAAGCACCGGCUAACUCCGUGCCAGCAGCCGCGGUAAUUC